AGGAUUGUUUCACUCCAUGGUAUUCCAUUGGUUAUCAGUUCAGACCGUGGUAGCAUAUUCACUUCAAGAUUCUGGGCAAGUUUCCAAGAAGCAAUGGGAACUCAUCUGUCAUUUAGUACUGCGUUUCAUCCUCAAUCGCAAGGACAAGUUGAACGCGUCAAUCAAAUCCUCGAAGACAUGCUUCGAGCUUGCGUUAUUUCCUUCGGCAAGAAAUGGGAGGAAUCUCUCCCGUAUGCUGAGUUCUCCUAUAAUAAUAGCUAUCAAGCUAGUCUGAAGAUGGCCCCCUUCGAGGUGUUAUAUGGACGAAAGUGCCGAACCCCUCUGAACUGGUCAGAAACUGGGGAACGUCCACUCUUCGGUCCGGAUAUUAUCCAAGAUGCCGAAGAACAAGUCCGCAUUAUUCGCGAGAAUCUCAAGACUGCUCAGUCACGUCAGAAGAGUCAGUAUGACCGUCAUCAUAAAGACAUGGUCUAUCAACCUGGCGAAAAGGCUUAUCUUCGAGUCACACCUAUGAAGGGUGCUCACCGCUUCGGGAUCAAGGGCAAACUAGCUCCUCGCUAUAUUGGC
RNAcentral lists this ribosomal RNA (567 nucleotides) under Triticum aestivum (bread wheat). RNAcentral's name for it is "partial small subunit ribosomal RNA". The record is from RNAcentral. Lineage: Eukaryota; Viridiplantae; Streptophyta; Magnoliopsida; Poales; Poaceae.